UACGUAGGGUGCAAGCGUUGUCCGGAAUUAUUGGGCGUAAAGAGCUCGUAGGCGGUCUGUCGCGUCUGCUGUGAAAACUCAGGGCUUAACCCUGAGCUUGCAGUGGGUACGGGCAGACUAGAGUGCGGUAGGGGAGACUGGAAUUCCAGGUGUAGCGGUGAAAUGCGUAGAUAUCUGGAGGAACACCCGUGGCGAAGGCGGCUCUCUGGUACGUGACUGACGCUGAGGAGCGAAAGCCAGGGGAGCAAACGGG
This 253-nucleotide ribosomal RNA is filed under the name uncultured bacterium. RNAcentral describes it as "partial 16S ribosomal RNA". It matches the Rfam family "Bacterial small subunit ribosomal RNA", at positions 524 to 776 of the family's 1533-position model. The record is from RNAcentral.